AGUCGAGGGGUAUUGUCUUCGGAUAUAGAGACCGGCGCACGGGUGCGUAACGCGUAUGCAAUCUACCUUUUACAGAGGGAUAGCCCAGAGAAAUUUGGAUUAAUACCUCAUAGUAUAGCUCUACCGCAUGGUAGUACUAUUAAAGUCACAACGGUAAAAGAUGAGCAUGCGUCCCAUUAGCUAGUUGGUAAGGUAACGGCUUACCAAGGCAACGAUGGGUAGGGGUCCUGAGAGGGAGAUCCCCCACACUGGUACUGAGACACGGACCAGACUCCUACGGGAGGCAGCAGUGAGGAAUAUUGGACAAUGGGCGCAAGCCUGAUCCAGCCAUGCCGCGUGCAGGAUGACGGUCCUAUGGAUUGUAAACUGCUUUUGUACGAGAAGAAACACUGCUUCGUGAAGCAGCUUGACGGUAUCGUAAGAAUAAGGAUCGGCUAACUCCGUGCCAGCAGCCGCGGUAAUACGGAGGAUCCAAGCGUUAUCCGGAAUCAUUGGGUUUAAAGGGUCCGUAGGCGGUUUAGUAAGUCAGUGGUGAAAGCCCAUCGCUCAACGGUGGAACGGCCAUUGAUACUGCUGAACUUGAAUUAUUAGGAAGUAACUAGAAAUAUGUAGUGUAGCGGUGAAAUGCUUAGAGAUUACAUGGAAUACCAAUUGCGAAAGGCAGGUUACUACUAAUUGAUUGACGCUGAUGG
This 692-nucleotide ribosomal RNA is filed under the name Flavobacterium sp. T164.10.P.RBT.MI.H.Gill.D.M. RNAcentral's name for it is "bacterial SSU rRNA". It matches the Rfam family "Bacterial small subunit ribosomal RNA", at positions 60 to 752 of the family's 1533-position model. Lineage: Bacteria; Pseudomonadati; Bacteroidota; Flavobacteriia; Flavobacteriales; Flavobacteriaceae. The record is from RNAcentral.